GAUGCAGGCAUGUCUGUCUUCUCUCAGAGUGUGAAGAGUGCAAAGACCUUAUAGAAUCUGUGCUGGAGGAGGAGCUGCAGUUUCAGGAGAGGGAGCUGACCAAAUUGCCAAGGCCAGCAGCAAGGCUCCGGAUACAUGAUCCCUUAAUUCAGGCUCAGGCUGAAGAACUGACCCACUUACGACAGAAGAUACAAGAAGGGAGAGGUGUCUGCUACCUUUUCACCCAGCAUGUGAAGAACACAGUCAAGUCUUUUGAGGGCCUUCUCAGGAACACUGGCAUUGCCUACUACCAGAGA
Molecule: long non-coding RNA, 296 nt
Filed under: Homo sapiens (human)
Lineage: Eukaryota; Metazoa; Chordata; Mammalia; Primates; Hominidae
Description: non-protein coding lnc-PPIAL4F-4:5
Source: RNAcentral